Molecule: ribosomal RNA, 808 nt
Filed under: uncultured Prevotella sp.
Lineage: Bacteria; Pseudomonadati; Bacteroidota; Bacteroidia; Bacteroidales; Prevotellaceae
Description: bacterial SSU rRNA
Rfam family: Bacterial small subunit ribosomal RNA
Source: RNAcentral
GGGCAGCGGGUUGAAAGCUUGCUUUCAAUGCCGGCGACCGGCGCACGGGUGCGUAACGCGUAUCAAACCUGCCUCAUACUCGGGGAUAGCCUUGCGAAAGUAAGAUUAAUACCCGAUGUUGUUGCUUUCUCGCAUGGGAGAGUAACCAAAGAUUUAUCGGUAUGAGAUGGUGAUGCGUCCGAUUAGGUAGUAGGCGGGGUAACGGCCCACCUAGCCUUCGAUCGGUAGGGGUUCUGGGAGGAAGGUCCCCCACACUGGAACUGAGACACGGUCCAGACUCCUACGGGAGGGCAGCAGUGAGGAAUAUUGGUCAAUGGGCGAGAGCCUGAACCAGCCAAGUAGCGUGCAGGAUGACGGCCCUCCGGGUUGUAAACUGCUUUUAGUUGGGAAUAAAAAAAGGGACUUGUCCCUUCUUGUAUGUACCUUCAGAAAAAGGACCGGCUAAUUCCGUGCCAGCAGCCGCGGUAAUACGGAAGGUCCAGGCGUUAUCCGGAUUUAUUGGGUUUAAAGGGAGCGUAGGCGGAUUGUUAAGUCAGCGGUUAAAGGGUGUGGCUCAACCAUGCAUUGCCGUUGAAACUGGCGAUCUUGAGUGCAGACAGGGAUGCCGGAAUUCGUGGUGUAGCGGUGAAAUGCUUAGAUAUCACGAAGAACUCCGAUCGCGAAGGCAGGUGUCCGGGCUGCAACUGACGCUGAGGCUCGAAAGUGUGGGUAUCAAACAGGAUUAGAUACCCUGGUAGUCCACACAGUAAACGAUGUAUACUCGCGGUUUGCGAUAGACAGUAAGCCGCCAAGCGAAAGCAUUAAGUAU